GACCUGGCGGCAGGCCUAACCAUGCAAGUCGAGCGGAUGAAGGGAGCUUGCUCUCUGAUUCAGCGGCGGACGGGUGAGUAAUGCCUAGGAAUCUGCCUGGUAGUGGGGGACAACGUUUCGAAAGGAACGCUAAUACCGCAUACGUCCUACGGGAGAAAGCAGGGGACCUUCGGGCCUUGCGCUAUCAGAUGAGCCUAGGUCGGAUUAGCUAGUUGGUGAGGUAAUGGCUCACCAAGGCGACGAUCCGUAACUGGUCUGAGAGGAUGAUCAGUCACACUGGAACUGAGACACGGUCCAGACUCCUACGGGAGGCAGCAGUGGGGAAUAUUGGACAAUGGGCGAAAGCCUGAUCCAGCCAUGCCGCGUGUGUGAAGAAGGUCUUCGGAUUGUAAAGCACUUUAAGUUGGGAGGAAGGGCAGUAAGUUAAUACCUUGCUGUUUUGACGUUACCGACAGAAUAAGCACCGGCUAACUUCGUGCCAGCAGCCGCGGUAAUACGAAGGGUGCAAGCGUUAAUCGGAAUUACUGGGCGUAAAGCGCGCGUAGGUGGUUUGUUAAGUUGGAUGUGAAAGCCCCGGGCUCAACCUGGGAACUGCAUCCAAAACUGGCAAGCUAGAGUAUGGCA
This 624-nucleotide ribosomal RNA is filed under the name Pseudomonas sp. W083. RNAcentral's name for it is "SSU rRNA". It matches the Rfam family "Bacterial small subunit ribosomal RNA", at positions 32 to 653 of the family's 1533-position model. The record is from RNAcentral. Lineage: Bacteria; Pseudomonadati; Pseudomonadota; Gammaproteobacteria; Pseudomonadales; Pseudomonadaceae.